Molecule: long non-coding RNA, 633 nt
Organism: Pipra filicauda (Wire-tailed manakin)
Lineage: Eukaryota; Metazoa; Chordata; Aves; Passeriformes; Pipridae
Exons: 3
Source: RefSeq, a predicted model, not a curated record
CCCAUCCAACUUGGCCUGGAACAUUUCCAAGAAAUGGGGCAUCCAAAGUUUCUCUGGGCAGCCCAUUUUGCAGAUAUACUUGCUGUGUACAGCUUCCAACCCUUCAGCCCUCAGCAUACACAGUCUAUACAUCUUCCCUGCUCCUACAGAAAGCCUGGAAGAGCUGAAAGCUUGGGUGGAAAAACUUCAGUGCUUAAAUCGACAGAUGUGUUGUUUGUCGCUGUUGUGGUUGCUGUUACCUUUUGUUUACGAGCUGGGAUGCCAAACUUCCAACCUCAUUUCUCAUGCAUUUUCCACAUCAUUAACUGUUUAAAUUUCCUGUGCUUGGACGGUUGUUGCUUCUUACUAUCAAUUCUCUCCAACGUGGCUGUGUUGAAAUGUAGAAACUGUUAUAAAAUCACAAUAGAAAAAAGACCAGAUGGCAUCAAUACCUGCUAAUGUACCCCAUGUUCAUGCUCCAGCAUGUGUCUGAUAGAUGGGAUAAGAGCUAGCCACUGAUAUUCUGUUCGUGUCAUCGUUUGCUGAGUUUGUUUUUUAAUUAACCAUAUGCUCCCAAGAAAACCUUGAAAGCAUUUAAUGUGGUUCCCCAAAAUACAUCUGCAACGCACCUUAGAAAUGGACAGCAUUUUAAAA